AUGACUUCAACCAAAUUAAUGGUCCUAAUAAUUAAAUUCCCAGGCCCAGCUAAGAAUUAAUUAUUUCUUAAUUAAAUCGGCCCAGCCCUCUUUGCUAUGGCCCAAUUGAACUUAACCAUUUUUGGCCCAAAACCAUUCUCUUCUUCCUCUCUUUUUUCUAUUCUAGUGAGGCCCAAAGGGAAAGUCAAUGGGGCAUGGCCCAAUUAACUCCCCACCUGUCGACCCUCCCCUCUCAUUUCUCUUCUCCAUUUUCAAUUUGGAGCAAAACCCUAACUCCCUCCUCCUUCUUCCUCGAUGGGCACCACCGGAGCACGCUGCCGCUCACCGGCGUCACCCUUCACUCCCUAGUUCACGCCGAUCGCACCACCACCAUGACCAAUGGCUCGCUCGGCCGCCCGUCGAAACCCCCAGCGACCCCUGCUCGCGACGCCUCCAUCACGUCGUGGCCGUCGUCGACUGUAGGCCGUCAUCGCCGCCCUGUCAUUCGCCUCUUCACGGUAAUUCGGCCCCGUCGUGGGUUCUCCGACCGAGGCAGACGCCGUUCGGUCCGUUUCACAAGCCAGCGUCGUCGCCACCACCGCUGCUCUUCGGUGUCGCCGCUGAGCCCGGGUGUUUCCGCGGCUAUCUUUGCGGCCUUGCCGUCGUCAGUGGCCUCCGAGGUAGCUCCUCGGCCUCAAAGCUAAGUGUUCCUAACUUAGCUAACUUUUAUGUUUUCUUUAGACGAAGUUGAUCCUGAUUACAUGGUUUAGAACUAGGCAGAUUUUGGUGGUUUAGUUAUGAGGGAUUAAACUGCAAAUCCUUAGACAUGUUGCCUAGUUUCACUACAUUCUAAUUCCAUUAAAUCACUGUAAGGCAAUUGAAAACGAGCUCUUUUUAUUCCAGGAGUUAUUGGCUGCUGCUCCCAAUCUCAAAUGUUCUUACAUUUAUGGGUUUUGCUUGAUGAUAUUGCUAUUUGUGAUGUUCUACUGUGAGCCUCGGUUCUUGGCUAUCUAAUGCCUUAUGCUACAUGAUGCUAGCAUGAUUUUGAUGAUUUACCUCUUGUGACUGAUGAGUGAGGCUGCUCCUUACUCCUACUCGAUCCCUCUCUGCCCUGGCCCUUCUCACUCCUUUACUAUCUUGUGAUUGAUUUUGUGAUGAGGGAGGCAGAAGAGGCUGAGGCCUAUUUGUACUUGUGGUCUAACCGAAAGCCUGAAAAAAAUGGCUGAUAUCCCUAGCUAAAAAGGGCCUUUGGUUGGUUAAGAGUUGGUUGACUUCUCUGCAGCUUUGCAGAGUGUAUACUCUGAAAAUUUUGGCUUCUUUCCCAACCGAUUCUGGUGGUUUUCUGGGUGUACUCGUGAGCUGAUGAGUCUGUGGUCCCUCAUUGUGUUCUGAUGCUCCCACUGAAAUUGAUGUUUUAUUUUCGUACUCCCCUGCUGCCCAUUUAACAGCAUUUGUCUCUAUAUGGGGUUUAGUACUUGGUUUAUUUAUUGUUUCUAUUGGUCUAUGGCAGGUGCACACAGGAGGGAGCAUCUUAUGGCUGAUUCUUUGACCAUGGCGGGUCUGAAUUAAGUGCGAGCUGUAGGGAUGCAGCCUUGUACAGUGCAGCCACUGAGAUGGAAUUGUGUUGGCUGACUUGCUUCUCUCGGCCCAGCUCUCGCUCACUCUAGGGAAGGAGCCGAGACUGCUACCGAGGUUGCCCCUUCCUCGUGGUCUCGUCCUCAAAUUCGGGGCCGAGACGGCUCGCGUUAAAGGCCGAGGAAGUUCACUAGGAACUCUCAGUUGUUGUAGUUCGAUAUGAACUCUCUUUUGUUUAUCUCAACAAGUAUGUAGUAGCUCAUAUAGUUGGUGUGUAUUUAAUUUCAAACAUUUGAAAUUUGUUAGCUUUAGAAUUUCUGAAAUUUGUAUUAAUACUCUUAUUCAAGAAUUAAAAAUACUCCCUCGUUCUUUAAUAAAAUUCUAGCAUUUUAUUUCAUAA
Molecule: long non-coding RNA, 1954 nt
Organism: Salvia splendens (bonfire salvia)
Lineage: Eukaryota; Viridiplantae; Streptophyta; Magnoliopsida; Lamiales; Lamiaceae
Exons: 2
Source: RefSeq, a predicted model, not a curated record